Molecule: ribosomal RNA, 453 nt
Filed under: uncultured bacterium
Lineage: Bacteria
Description: bacterial SSU rRNA
Rfam family: Bacterial small subunit ribosomal RNA
Source: RNAcentral
GACGAACGCUGGCGGUGUGCUUCACACAUGCAAGUCGAACGAGGUAGCAAUACCUAGUGGCGGACGGGUGAGGAAUACAUGGGUAAUCUACCAUCGAGUGGGGAAUAACCAACCGAAAGGUUGGCUAAUACCGCGUACGCCUCCGAGUCUUCGGGUUCGGAGGGAAAGCUGCACUGUGAGUGUAGCGCUCUUUGAUGAGCUCAUGUCCUAUCAGCUUGUUGGUAGGGUAACGGCCUACCAAGGCUUUGACGGGUAGCUGGUCUGAGAGGACGAUCAGCCACACUGGCACUGAGACACGGUCCAGACUCCUACGGGAGGCAGCAGUGGGGAAUAUUGCGCAAUGGGCGAAAGCCUGACGCAGCCACGCCGCGUGAGCGAUGAAGGCCUUCGGUCGUAAGCUCUGUGGGGAGACGAGAAGCCGUGAGAGCGGGCCUUGACGGUAGUCUCCUUAGC